GAUAUGCACCACUGUACAGAUAU
RNAcentral lists this non-coding RNA (23 nucleotides) under Arabidopsis thaliana (thale cress). Lineage: Eukaryota; Viridiplantae; Streptophyta; Magnoliopsida; Brassicales; Brassicaceae. The record is from RNAcentral.